AUUUAAAUAGCUUAAAUAGAGCAUGACAUUGAAGCUGUUAAGGUGAUAAUUUAUCUUUAAAUA
RNAcentral lists this transfer RNA (63 nucleotides) under Protohermes differentialis. RNAcentral describes it as "tRNA-Phe". It matches the Rfam family "tRNA". Rfam says of the family: Transfer RNA (tRNA) molecules are approximately 80 nucleotides in length. The record is from RNAcentral. Lineage: Eukaryota; Metazoa; Arthropoda; Insecta; Megaloptera; Corydalidae.